CGACCGGCGCACGGGUGCGUAACGCGUAUACAAUCUACCUUAUACUGGGGGAUAGCCUUUAGAAAUGAAGAUUAAUACCCCAUGGUCUAUAGAUAUGGCAUCAUAUUUAUAGUAAAGGUUACGGUAUAAGAUGAGUAUGCGUCCUAUUAGUUAGUUGGUGUGGUAACGGCACACCAAGACUACGAUAGGUAGGGGCCCUGAGAGGGGGAUCCCCCACACUGGUACUGAGACACGGACCAG
RNAcentral lists this ribosomal RNA (240 nucleotides) under uncultured bacterium. RNAcentral's name for it is "partial 16S ribosomal RNA". It matches the Rfam family "Bacterial small subunit ribosomal RNA", at positions 92 to 334 of the family's 1533-position model. The record is from RNAcentral.